CUGUCAAUCCCUAGCUUGAGGGACUAUUUCAUGUUGGAAUCUCAAUCAAACAUUUAAGAGGAACAAUUCCACUAAACAAAACCAGAUAUAAUGAAAAAUAAAAAAACUAUAAUUAGAUAAGCAAUAAUAAUAAUAAAAAAAUCUACCUAAUUCCCUUUUCCUUUUUUUGUUUUUGUUUUUUCUUCUUUCCUUCCACGAUUUGGCAGCUUCGUGGAGGUCCACCGGGAGUUAAUCGUCGGAGCUCCGGCGAUGAGGACCAGCAGCGAGCAGAUCGGCGGCGAGCGGUGGCGUCGCGAGGAGCAGCGGCAAGCGAGAUCUCGGCUGGUGUCGCGGGCGCAGGUGCUCGGCUCCGACGGCAGGGCAGCGAAUGGGACUGCAACUCGAGGAAUCUGGUCGCGGUGUUGCGGUGGGCUCGGAUCUGCAGGCGAAGAGGCUUCACAGGCGACUGGGUCACAGAUCUGCAGGUGGAGCGGCUUCGCGGGCGGAUCGGGGAUAGGCGACGCAAGGCGGGGCUCAGCGUCGGGGGAGAGCUGAAGCAGUCGUCGGGUGCAGUGGGCUGCAACAGAGGGCAGGUUGGCUCGGCGGAGAGCUGGUGCGGGUUGCCGGAGGGCCCUGAGCUCAGGCGGUCAGAGGCGGAUCGACGGACGGGCGACGGUAGCUGCUGGCGUCGGGUUAAGCAGGGACGUCAAUCGCUGGUCUUCGAGACGCCGAAGACGACGGCGUCAGGUGGUGCGACUGAAUCGCGCGGUGAAGCGGAGCUCCGGUGAGAUGGACGGCGGUGCCGCGCGGUGGAGUAGGAACUGGCGAACGACUGCAGAUGCGGGAAGUGAGUAGGGGUGAGCAUGGUCCGAGUUGGUCCGGGCCACCCCCUAACCCUAGGACCAACCCGUAUAGUGUCGGUCCUCAAUUUUUAGGACCGAGGACCGACCCUACUAAGCUUGGGACCAAGGACCGGACCGACCCAAUGGGUUCGGUUCGGUUCCAGGGUCAACCCGGGACCGAUCGAUAAUUUAUUUCAUCUUGUUUUUUAUACUCCCUAAAAAAGUAAACCUACAAAUUCAAAUUACACAUACAUCGACAAUGCGGCAUUAUGCAACUAAACUAUAAAUACCAAUACAAUAUCUCAAAUGAAGCACAAAGUAGAUAUCACUAGUCAAGUUGUGUUUGGAAAGCAAGGCAAGCUGAGCAUUAGGGUUUCUAAUUAGGGCUUCUUCUUUUUUCCUUUUGAUUUACUCGGCGAUAAGUGAGGCGACCGGCGCGAGUGGCGAGCGCAAGCGUCGAGUGUCGAGUGGGGUGAGCGUCAACUGGCAAGCGGCAAGCGUUUAGUGAGGCCAGCGGCAAGCGGCGAGCAUUGAGCGAGACUAGCGGCGAGUGAUGAGUGGCGAGCGUUUAGCGAGGCCAGCAACGACAGCAAAGGGCGAGUGGUGAGUGGCGAGCAGCGCGCACGAUCAAAGGUGAGCGGCGCGGGCAACCAGAGGCGAGCGGGAUGUUGCUACUUUUGAUUUUGGCAAAUUGAAGAACAAAGAAGACAAAAUGGAAGAGAAUGUACUUUUUAGGGAAGAAAGCCGUGAGGAGAUUUACGGCAUAAACUUCGCGCCAUUUUGGACGUCGCGAGUCCAUGACUAUGAGGAGUCCUUGGUCCUCACGGUGAAGAAUGUACUAUGGAGUCUAGACUGUGGAGGAGGAGGCCGUGAAGACCUUUACGGCGUAAACUUCACGCCUUUUGGAAUUGGAUGCCGUCUGUCCAUGAUUAUGAGCAUGAGGAGUCAACAACUUUAACAUCAUUUUACUUAGGUUUGAAUAUUUAAAAGAAUUAUAUAUAAUAUAAUAUAACAUAAAUUUUACUUAGGUUUGAAUAUAUAAAAGAAUUAUAAAUAAUAUAAUACAAUAUAAUAUACAGGGUUGGUCUAGGGUUGGACCGACCCAAAACUCUCAAGACCGAGGACCAACUCGCACAGUGUUGGUCUUGGAAUUUCAGGACCAAGGACCAACCCAGUCCCCUUGGGAACCGGACCAGGACCGGCAGGGUUGGGCCGGUCCAGGGUCGGUCCAGGGUUGACCCUAAACCGCUGCUCACCCCUAGAAGUGAGGGCGCGAGCGUAGCGCGGGUGGACGAAUCUCUCCUAUUUUUAAUUCUUUUCUCUCUCUUCCUGUCACUCUCAC
This 2163-nucleotide long non-coding RNA is filed under the name Eucalyptus grandis. RNAcentral's name for it is "long non-coding RNA (EGRA_LNC004612)". Lineage: Eukaryota; Viridiplantae; Streptophyta; Magnoliopsida; Myrtales; Myrtaceae. The record is from RNAcentral.